GACGAACGCUGGCGGCGUGCCUAAUACAUGCAAGUAGAACGCUGAAGGAGGAGCUUGCUUCUCUGGAUGAGUUGCGAACGGGUGAGUAACGCGUAGGUAACCUGCCUGGUAGCGGGGGAUAACUAUUGGAAACGAUAGCUAAUACCGCAUAACAGUAGAUGUUGCAUGACAUUUGCUUAAAAGGUGCAAUUGCAUCACUACCAGAUGGACCUGCGUUGUAUUAGCUAGUUGGUGGGGUAACGGCUCACCAAGGCGACGAUACAUAGCCGACCUGAGAGGGUGAUCGGCCACACUGGGACUGAGACACGGCCCAGACUCCUACGGGAGGCAGCAGUAGGGAAUCUUCGGCAAUGGACGGAAGUCUGACCGAGCAACGCCGCGUGAGUGAAGAAGGUUUUCGGAUCGUAAAGCUCUGUUGUAAGAGAAGAACGAGUGUGAGAGUGGAAAGUCACACUGUGAC
Molecule: ribosomal RNA, 460 nt
Filed under: Streptococcus mitis
Lineage: Bacteria; Bacillati; Bacillota; Bacilli; Lactobacillales; Streptococcaceae
Description: bacterial SSU rRNA
Rfam family: Bacterial small subunit ribosomal RNA
Source: RNAcentral